Molecule: small RNA, 28 nt
Filed under: Bombyx mori (domestic silkworm)
Lineage: Eukaryota; Metazoa; Arthropoda; Insecta; Lepidoptera; Bombycidae
Description: ovarian small RNA-6163
Source: RNAcentral
UACUAUUGCAUGGUGUACUCCUGGAGGU